Molecule: long non-coding RNA, 1214 nt
Filed under: Struthio camelus australis
Lineage: Eukaryota; Metazoa; Chordata; Aves; Struthioniformes; Struthionidae
Description: lncRNA (ENSSCUG00000003555.1)
Source: RNAcentral
AAUGUCACCUCUUACAUUGUUUUCUCCCACACUGUUAAUCAAGCAGUUUAUUAUUCCUUCCUUUUAGCUGUGGUCUCAGGACUUUAUUUCUGAACCGCAUGCUGUUAAUAAAACAUGUUCUAGGGGAACUGACACUGUUUCUGUUUGUAAUGUUAGAAAUAGACUCUGUGUUCUUGUAAUGAUGGGCUGAAAUGGAAAGAUCUCUUGGAAUAUUAGACAUCUAUCAAGAAGUGAAAUUAUUCCUCUGGCGGUUUUGGAUUCCUCUAAUGCAAGAUGGAUAAUAUGAAUAGAGUGUCAGAUGAACUGCAGGUUAAAUAAAGCUGGUGUAUACCUUGGAACAUCUGAUUUAAAGUAGUUUGAUUUCCUGUCAAAUGCGAUUGAUUUAUUUUUUGGAAGUGUGAAGAAAGAUUAAAAGAUUUGAAGAAAUAUAGUUCAAAAUGUAAUAUGGUGUAUAGUUCACUGCAGCAUAAUGGAAAAGGUACAUGGGAUCAUGUAUUGCUGGCCCUUUCAUGUGUUCUGCAGCAGAAGACUAUUAGCUUCAUUGUUUGUAAGGAAUAUCCCAGCUGGUCAGUGAGGUGAUAGCCUGUCAAGCAGCAGAGAAUGAAAGCCAGGUCUGGCAAGUCUGCCUUUCUUCUGACUGAUAUUUCUGAUUUCCGUAGCUGAGCCUUUGGCAGGGAGCCUGGAGUGAAGUAGGUGGAGAGGGGAGUUCAGAUGGUGUGAAGCAUCUGAGGAUUGGUUUCUUAAGAGUGCAUUUCCAAUUUGUCAGGAGGCACUGCAUAUAGCGAGACUGAUCCAGAAGAACAAGUGCUGUGUAACUGUGCUGAAGAGAGCUUUUCUGGAGGAUAAUCCCUAGGAAAAAAGCAACUGGAUGAAUGAGUGGAGCAUGCUCAACUAAUAUUUUCUGCUGGUGGUUUGAGGUUGUUUCUUUCUCUUCUGUGACUGAUUCAGGGGCUCAGGGCCAUUCUCGUCUUGAGAAACUGUAAGAAUUACCACACAGAGUUGCCUACUGUAGAGGCAACUAUCACUGCUGAAAUUCUCAUAAGCAAGGAAAAAAAAGCUUAAGGCAGAUAAUGGAUAACAGAUAGCACAUGCAAGAGUUCAACAACUUGCUCUUCUUCAGCUUCUGCAGUCUUAAACUUUGUCUCCUUUUUCUUUCUCCUCUCUCCUCUAGCAACACGUAGCGUUCUAGCACCAUUAUUAGUACUGAACAAAAU